GGGUUGUGAGGUUAAGCGAACAAGCGUACACGGUGGAUGCCCUGGCAGUCAGAGGCGAUGAAGGACGUGCUAAUCUGCGAAAAGCGCCGGUAAGGUGAUAUGAACCGUUAUAACCGGCGAUGUCCGAAUGGGGAAACCCGGUGCACUUCGGUGCAUCAUCGUUAGCUGAAUACAUAGGCUAACGAGGCGAACCGGGGGAACUGAAACAUCUAAGUACCCCGAGGAAAAGAAAUCAACCGAGAUUCCCCCAGUAGCGGCGAGCGAACGGGGAACAGCCCAGAGCCUGAAUCAGCUUGUGUGUCAGUGGAACGGUCUGGAAAGGCCGGCGAUACAGGGUGACAGCCCCGUACACGAAGGCACACAGGCUGUGAGCUCGAUGAGUAGGGCGGGACACGUGAUAUCCUGUCUGAAGAUGGGGGGACCAUCCUCCAAGGCUAAAUACUCCUGACUGACCGAUAGUGAACCAGUACCGUGAGGGAAAGGCGAAAAGAACCCCGGCGAGGGGAGUGAAACAGAACCUGAAACCGUGUACGUACAAGCAGUGGGAGCCUUCGUAAGAGGGUGACUGCGUACCUUUUGUAUAAUGGGUCAGCGACUUAUAUUCUGUAGCAAGGUUAACCGUAUAGGGGAGCCGAAGGGAAACCGAGUCUUAACCGGGCGUUAAGUUGCAGGGUAUAGACCCGAAACCCGGUGAUCUAGCCAUGGGCAGGUUGAAGGUUGGGUAACACUAACUGGAGGACCGAACCGACUAAUGUUGAAAAAUUAGCGGAUGACCUGUGGCUGGGGGUGAAAGGCCAAUCAAACCGGGAGAUAGCUGGUUCUCCCCGAAAGCUAUUUAGGUAGCGCCUCGUGAACUCAUCUCCGGGGGUAGAGCACUGUUUCGGCUAGGGGGCCAUCCCGGCUUACCAACCCGAUGCAAACUGCGAAUACCGGAGAAUGUUAUCACGGGAGACACACGGCGGGUGCUAACGUCCGUCGUGAAGAGGGAAACAACCCAGACCGCCAGCUAAGGUCCCAAAGUCAUGGUUAAGUGGGAAACGAUGUGGGAAGGCCCAGACAGCCAGGAUGUUGGCUUAGAAGCAGCCAUCAUUUAAAGAAAGCGUAAUAGCUCACUGGUCGAGUCGGCCUGCGCGGAAGAUGUAACGGGGCUAAACCAUGCACCGAAGCUGCGGCAGCGACGCUUAUGUGUUGUUGGGUAGGGGAGCGUUCUGUAAGCCUGCGAAGGUGUGCUGUGAGGCAUGCUGGAGGUAUCAGAAGUGCGAAUGCUGACAUAAGUAACGAUAAAGCGGGUGAAAAGCCCGCUCGCCGGAAGACCAAGGGUUCCUGUCCAACGUUAAUCGGGGCAGGGUGAGUCGACCCCUAAGGCGAGGCCGAAAGGCGUAGUCGAUGGGAAACAGGUUAAUAUUCCUGUACUUGGUGUUACUGCGAAGGGGGGACGGAGAAGGCUAUGUCGGCCGGGCGACGGUUGUCCCGGUUUAAGCGUGUAGGCUGACUUUCCAGGCAAAUCCGGAAGGUUAAGGCUGAGGCGUGAUGACGAGGCACCACGGUGCUGAAGUGACAAAUGCCCUGCUUCCAGGAAAAGCCUCUAAGCAUCAGGUAACAUCAAAUCGUACCCCAAACCGACACAGGUGGUCAGGUAGAGAAUACCAAGGCGCUUGAGAGAACUCGGGUGAAGGAACUAGGCAAAAUGGUGCCGUAACUUCGGGAGAAGGCACGCUGACAUGUAGGUGAAGCCCCUGCGGGUGGAGCUGAAGUCAGUCGAAGAUACCAGCUGGCUGCAACUGUUUAUUAAAAACACAGCACUGUGCAAACACGAAAGUGGACGUAUACGGUGUGACGCCUGCCCGGUGCCGGAAGGUUAAUUGAUGGGGUUAUCGCAAGAGAAGCUCCUGAUCGAAGCCCCGGUAAACGGCGGCCGUAACUAUAACGGUCCUAAGGUAGCGAAAUUCCUUGUCGGGUAAGUUCCGACCUGCACGAAUGGCGUAAUGAUGGCCAGGCUGUCUCCACCCGAGACUCAGUGAAAUUGAACUCGCUGUGAAGAUGCAGUGUACCCGCGGCAAGACGGAAAGACCCCGUGAACCUUUACUACAGCUUGACACUGAACAUUGAGCCUUGAUGUGUAGGAUAGGUGGGAGGCUUUGAAGCGUGGACGCCAGUCUGCGUGGAGCCGACCUUGAAAUACCACCCUUUAAUGUUUGAUGUUCUAACCUGGCGCCGUGAUCCGGCGUGGGGACAGUGUCUGGUGGGUAGUUUGACUGGGGCGGUCUCCUCCCAAAGUGUAACGGAGGAGCACGAAGGUCAGCUAAUCCUGGUCGGACAUCAGGAGGUUAGUGCAAUGGCAUAAGCUGGCUUGACUGCGAGAGUGACGGCUCGAGCAGGUGCGAAAGCAGGUCAUAGUGAUCCGGUGGUUCUGUAUGGAAGGGCCAUCGCUCAACGGAUAAAAGGUACUCCGGGGAUAACAGGCUGAUACCGCCCAAGAGUUCAUAUCGACGGCGGUGUUUGGCACCUCGAUGUCGGCUCAUCACAUCCUGGGGCUGAAGUAGGUCCCAAGGGUAUGGCUGUUCGCCAUUUAAAGUGGUACGCGAGCUGGGUUUAGAACGUCGUGAGACAGUUCGGUCCCUAUCUGCCGUGGGCGCUGGAGAAUUGAGGGGGGCUGCUCCCAGUACGAGAGGACCGGAGUGGACGCAUCACUGGUGUUCGGGUUGUCAUGCCAAUGGCACUGCCCGGUAGCUAAAUGCGGAAGAGAUAAGUGCUGAAAGCAUCUAAGCACGAAACUUGCCCCGAGAUGAGUUCUCCCUGAGACUGUAAGUCUCCUGAAGGAACGUUGAAGACGACGACGUUGAUAGGCCGGGUGUGUAAGCGCAGCGAUGCGUUGAGCUAACCGGUACUAAUGAACCGUGAGGCUUAACCUUACAACGCCAAAGAAGU
This 2928-nucleotide ribosomal RNA is filed under the name Cronobacter sakazakii. Its description in RNAcentral is "23S ribosomal RNA". It matches the Rfam family "Bacterial large subunit ribosomal RNA". Lineage: Bacteria; Pseudomonadati; Pseudomonadota; Gammaproteobacteria; Enterobacterales; Enterobacteriaceae. The record is from RNAcentral.